UUUAGUUGAUGCUACCUGUGAGGGCUGAUGUGUGAGCUGAGAACACUGCCCUCUGUAGGUAGGUUGAGGGAGAGUUUCCUGGUAGAUGUGUGGUGGGACUGCUUGGUGUGUGCCGAUGUAAUGAGCUGUGUCCUGAUUUACCCUGACUGAUAUGCUCUGUAGGCUCAUGUUGAAGAGGAAAUUCAGCCUUUGACUCCCUCCCAGUGUCAGCCUGCUGACCUUCCAGGUGUCUCCUUUAAUCAGGGCCUCAGAUUGAGCGAGG
Molecule: non-coding RNA, 262 nt
Organism: Labrus bergylta (ballan wrasse)
Lineage: Eukaryota; Metazoa; Chordata; Actinopteri; Labriformes; Labridae
Source: RefSeq, a predicted model, not a curated record